RNAcentral lists this ribosomal RNA (436 nucleotides) under uncultured Clostridium sp. Its description in RNAcentral is "partial 16S ribosomal RNA". It matches the Rfam family "Bacterial small subunit ribosomal RNA", at positions 341 to 792 of the family's 1533-position model. Lineage: Bacteria; Bacillati; Bacillota; Clostridia; Eubacteriales; Clostridiaceae. The record is from RNAcentral.
ACGGAAGGCAGCAGUGGGGAAUAUUGGGCAAUGGGCGCAAGCCUGACCCAGCAACGCCGCGUGAAGGAAGAAGGCUUUCGGGUUGUAAACUUCUUUUGUAAGGGACGAGAAGAAGACGGUACCUUAUGAAUAAGCCGCGGCUAACUACGUGCCAGCAGCCGCGGUAAUACGUAGGUGGCAAGCGUUAUCCGGAUUUACUGGGUGUAAAGGGCGCGUAGGCGGGGAUGCAAGUCAGGUGUGAAAUCUAUGGGCUUAACCCAUAAACUGCAUUUGAAACUGUAUCUCUUGAGUGUCGGAGAGGUAGAUGGAAUUCCUAGUGUAGCGGUGAAAUGCGUAGAUAUUAGGAGGAACACCAGUGGCGAAGGCGAUCUACUGGACGAUAACUGACGCUGAGGCGCGAAAGCGUGGGGAGCAAACAGGAUUAGAUACCCUGGUA